Molecule: ribosomal RNA, 483 nt
Filed under: uncultured bacterium
Lineage: Bacteria
Description: bacterial SSU rRNA
Rfam family: Bacterial small subunit ribosomal RNA
Source: RNAcentral
AUUGAACGCUGGCGGCAUGCUUUACACAUGCAAGUCGAACGGUAACAGGGAGCUUGCUCCGCUGACGAGUGGCGAACGGGUGAGUAAUGCAUCGGAACGUACCCAGUCGUGGGGGAUAACGUAGCGAAAGUUACGCUAAUACCGCAUACGUCCUGAGGGAGAAAGCGGGGGACCGAAAGGCCUCGCGCGAUUGGAGCGGCCGAUGUCGGAUUAGCUAGUUGGUGGGGUAAAGGCCUACCAAGGCGACGAUCCGUAGCGGGUCUGAGAGGAUGAUCCGCCACACUGGGACUGAGACACGGCCCAGACUCCUACGGGAGGCAGCAGUGGGGAAUUUUGGACAAUGGGGGCAACCCUGAUCCAGCCAUGCCGCGUGAGUGAAGAAGGCCUUCGGUGUAAAGCUCUUUCAGACGGAAGAAAACGCAAUCGGUGAAUACCCGAUGUGGAUGACGGUACCGUAAGAAGAAGACACCGGCUAACUACGUG